This 599-nucleotide ribosomal RNA is filed under the name uncultured bacterium. Its description in RNAcentral is "bacterial SSU rRNA". It matches the Rfam family "Bacterial small subunit ribosomal RNA", at positions 9 to 586 of the family's 1533-position model. The record is from RNAcentral.
GAGUUUGAUCAUGGCUCAGAAUGAACGCUGGCGGCGUGCCUAACACAUGCAAGUCGAGCGAGAAAUCACACUUCGGUGUGAGAGUAGAGCGGCGCACGGGUGAGUAACGCGUGGAUAAUCUACCCAUGGAUUGGGGAUAACCCUGCGAAAGCGGGGCUAAUACCUGAUAGUCUGGUCAUUAUAUAGAUGAUCGGUAAAGGUGGCCUCUGAUACAAGCUACUGUCCGUGGAUGAGUCCGCGUCUCAUUAGCUGGUUGGUGGGGUAAUGGCCUACCAAGGCGACGAUGAGUAGCUGGUCUGAGAGGAUGAUCAGCCACACUGGGACUGGAACACGGCCCAGACUCCUACGGGAGGCAGCAGUGGGGAAUAUUGGGCAAUGGGCGCAAGCCUGACCCAGCAACGCCGUGUGAGGGAAGAAGGUUUUCGGAUCGUAAACCUCUGUCAGAAGGGAAGAAGUGGCAGAUAUUUAAUAUAUAUUUGCUUUGACGGUACCUUCAUAGGAAGCACCGGCUAACUCCGUGCCAGCAGCCGCGGUAAUACGGAGGGUGCAAGCGUUAUUCGGAAUCCCUGGGCGUAAAGCGCGCGUAUGUUUGCGUGCUC